AUUACGUAAAGAUCUUUAGAACAAGUCUAAUUGAAUUAGAUUCAGUUCGACUCAGAUUGGGAUUGAUAUGAUCAAACCCGAUUACAAGAAAAAUUUGAUCUUGAUUCGAUCAGGGUUUGGACUCGACUAAUUCUUAAUUGAUUAGAAAUUUGAUGAGAUAUUUAGAUUUUUAACUAAAUUAGAUUUAUUUCUAUCAGUAGUUUUAAUUUAAAUUUAAUUUGGAUUAUAAUUGAAUUAGAAAUAAAGAGUCCAAGUC
Molecule: long non-coding RNA, 256 nt
Filed under: Elaeis guineensis (African oil palm)
Lineage: Eukaryota; Viridiplantae; Streptophyta; Magnoliopsida; Arecales; Arecaceae
Description: long non-coding RNA (EGUI_LNC076777)
Source: RNAcentral